RNAcentral lists this ribosomal RNA (426 nucleotides) under uncultured bacterium. RNAcentral's name for it is "bacterial SSU rRNA". It matches the Rfam family "Bacterial small subunit ribosomal RNA", at positions 356 to 773 of the family's 1533-position model. The record is from RNAcentral.
GAGGAAUAUUGCGCAAUGGGGGCAACCCUGACGCAGCGACGCCGCGUGAGUGAGGAAGGCCUUCGGGUCGUAAAGCUCUGUCAAAGGGAAAGAAGUGCAUGGUGGCUAAUACCUGCCAUGUUUGACGGUACCCUUAAAGGAAGCACCGGCUAACUCCGUGCCAGCAGCCGCGGUAAUACGGAGGGUGCAAGCGUUGUUCGGAAUCACUGGGCGUAAAGGGCGCGUAGGCGGUUUGAUAAGUCAGAUGUGAAAGCCCACGGCUUAACUGUGGAAGUGCAUUUGAAACUGUCAGACUUGAGUAUCAGAGGGGAAAGUGGAAUUCCCGGUGUAGAGGUGAAAUUCGUAGAUAUCGGGAGGAAUACCGGUGGCGAAGGCGACUUUCUGGCUGAAUACUGACGCUGAGGCGCGAAAGCGUGGGGAGCAAAC